GAUGGAGGGGCAGAGCCAGGAGUACAAGAUGCUGCUGGGCAUCAAGACCCGCCUGGAGCAGGAGAUUGCUCAGUACCGGGCACUGCUCAAUGAAGGACAGCAAGACCUUGCGAUGCCCCAAGGAGGAGGACGAACCUCCCACUCCUAUUCUUCCACUUCCUAUUCUCACGGACAAUCUGGCGGAGACAAGUCAGGGCAGACAAGAGUGUGCUGAGGUACCACCGAUGCUCUGGUCUUCUCUGAUCCACCUACAGCCCCAGGUGCAGGGAUGACCAGCAGCUCACGCUGUGUGCCUGGUGCACAGCUCCAUCUGCGCGUGUCGUCACGCAGGGACGAUGAAUCCCUGCCAGGACUCCCAACGUUUUCUGCUUCCUCCUUUGCAUUGUUCUUCACAGUGCAAUCACUGCAGUGCCACCAGUGCUCUGCUUUCUGCUGGCCAUUGUGCCUCUAAUAAAACUUCACUUUUCUGCA
RNAcentral lists this long non-coding RNA (471 nucleotides) under Coturnix japonica (Japanese quail). RNAcentral describes it as "lncRNA (ENSCJPG00005004590.1)". The record is from RNAcentral. Lineage: Eukaryota; Metazoa; Chordata; Aves; Galliformes; Phasianidae.